AGCUUCUAAAGCCUUUGCAAACAUAGAACACUGAUCCUACAAUUUCUCUCCAGUUUCCUCAUGUGGCAUAGGAAUAUUUCUCCUUUUGCUGUUUUAUGAUGCUACCUUUUAAGCAGAGAGAGACGUGGCAGCCUGAGCUUUGGUCAAGCUCACCCAACCAAGCACAUUUAGGAAGUCAGCAGGAGCACACACCUACGUAGCAGCCUGUUGCUGAGUGACGGAGAGGAAAGGCAGGGAUGUUCACUCCAAACAGCAGGAAGCAAGCAGUCGGGUCCCUCUGAACUGGUCCUGACAGAAAUCUGCUUCCUCACGCAGCCCAGUUUGCCACGUCAAACUUCCUCACACAGCACCAAGUUACAGAAACCUGACUCAGCUUCAAGCGGCGACAUGGCACAAAGCCACUUGGCAAGAGCAGGCCUAGGAUCAAAAUCUGGGGAGCUUCAAUCACAGAACAAGCCCCAGGCCACUGUCACUGGACAACGAGAGCCAAGAUGUGCUUCUCACCCGGGACCAAGUUCGGAUUUGGGCAAAUUGGUUUCGCUACCGGAUAGGAUGUCCCGAAGCUUGAAGAUACAGUUGCCAUUUUUACUCUAUUUCCAAUACUGCCUUCCUCCAAAGAGGAAAUUAAGUUGAUACAGAGACAAGAAAACCGCCGGCCGUGCCACUGGAAUACUGUGGCCACUGAGGACCCUAACCACGCAGUUCCAGCAUCCCAAGACAAAAAGAUGGGGGCGGGGCGGCUAAAAACUGCCCACGCCCACCCACCCCACCCCCAUUAUCAAACUGCACGAAAAGGCUAAAGGAGCAACGUAUGAGGUCUCCUCCGCUGCCCUGCCACAGGUAUUGCUUGCCGGUACAGGAAGGUACACGAUUCAAGACCCCGAAGAGAUUGGAAUUUACAGGCGAAUCUGGCACUUAAAGGAGAAUCUGGCACGUGUACACGAACAAUUUGAUGACGUAUUCGCGCAAUGCUCUACAGAGGAAGGAAAGCCCAAGGCAGCCUGGCAAAGUGUAAAAGAGGAAGGAAAAGAUGUCCCAACGGAAAAGUAUGGGGAGAGAUGUCAUCACUGAAGCUGAAAUUGCUAGACUUCUGUGUAUUCCUUCUAGGAAUGCCUACAGAUUGACUGAACCUACUCCGAACAGGGAUCGAUACAUGUGUAGAGACCCCGUGUUUAGCUCACUGUAUUGUGAGAAACAGCUGAGAAAGGCAACAUAUGUCACAACUGGAACUUGACUUCUCUUUUCUAUCUAGCCCUAAAAACUAGGACCAUCUGGCUUGUUUCUCAUAAUGCCCCAUGCCUAGAUAGAAAGGCCUUCAACCAACCCUAGGUUUGAUAUCGCUACCACUUUUGCUCAAACUUACAAAAACAAACCAGAUCAGUGUUUUGUUUUCAAUAUAUACUUUCUUCUGAGCCUCCUGGAUGGCUCAGUCGGUUAAGUGUCUGCCUUCAGCUCAGGUCAUGGUCCCAGGGUCCUGGAAUCGAGUUCCCCAUCAGGCUCCCUGCUCAGCGGGAAGCCUGCUUCUCCCUCUCCCACUCCCCCCUGCUUGUGUUCCCUCUCUCUCGCGGUCUCUCUCUCUGUCAAAUAAAUAUAUAAAAUCUUUAAAAAUAUAUACAUACAUAUAUAUACUUUCUUCUGGGGUACAAGAAGAUAAAAAUACUUGACAAAUCUCUUUACUGACAAAAUCCCUGGGCAAAAACUUGCACGGGGAUGAUGCUACUGCUGAAAUUCUACAUUAGUUUUGCAGGCAUUUUAAGAUAUUCCAGCAUGGUGAAGACACUAAUGGUCCCUUUCCCCCUUCUCCUUUUUUACAAUUUUAAGGUGUGACACCCUGCCUACACCCAGCUUCAACCCUGGUCAGAUUUGAGAAUCCACAAUGAAAAAUUUGUUUUAAAUUUGUUUCUUGUGUUCUCAAUAUAAUGAAAAUGUUUGAUGGAGUUUAGGAAGCUUUGGUCUGUGUAGAAGCAGCACAGCUUGUAAGAGCAAUAAAAAAAAAAAGUUGUCAUAUCACAGUUAUGUCACAAUGUAGGAGAGAGUAGUCCCUUGGAGAUAGGAACAUUAUGUAAUGAGUUGGUUGGCUUGUUGUCUCUAUAAAACCACUAAGUUUGAGUUUGUAAAUUCUUUCUUACCUCUGUUCAGGGAUCAGGACAGUUUGUGAUUUUAGUUCUAACACAGUGUUGGAUUCCUAAAUAUUUAAAGUUGGAAGGGAUUAGAAAUAUGGAUAGCUCAAUAUUCAGUGAGGACUGAAUUCAAUUUUAUAAAUUAAAAAGCCAAAUUUCAAAAAAUGAAAAUAACUUACUAGUCUUUUAGUUGGAAGACAUGCCUUCUGAUUUUAAUUUCAAAGCAUUUUUUACCUCAUUUUCCUUCCUCUUACUAUUACUCUAUUCAAUGGUUUUGCCUUUCUCUCCUAUAUCUGCCUUAUAUUUAAGCUUUCAAAUAAAUACAAUAUUGAUAGACCAUACAGCUCCACCAGUGUUUGGAGUUAGUAAUCACAAAUUUCUUUUUCUUAUGAAAUAGACUUCUAGUUUGUCCUGCUUCCCUUCUUGUGACCUUAAGUAACCACCCCUUUAGUGACUAAUUUCUGACCUUAUUCUUGUGGUAGGAUUGCUGAACUUCACCAGACAGGAAGGUUAGCCUGGAUUCCCAGUCUUGGUCGGACCUACCCCACUGCCACCUGAUGUCAGCCUCUGAUGUUCCAUGUAUAAUUAACAUGGUCACCCUGGUAACCAUAUCCUAAUUGAAAGGUGAGGUCACAGGGAAUGUCCAUGUGCUGGGGUUCUGUGUUCUUUAGGGUCUUUCUGUUCUAACUUUAUUUUUAUUAUUUUUUAUUUUUUUAAGUAAUCUCUGUGCCCAAUGUGGAGCUCAAAUUCACAACCCUAAGAUUAAGAGUCGCAUGCUCCACUGACUGAGCUAGCCAGGCAUCCCUCUGUUCUAACUUUGAAAGGAAAAGAAAGCAGAGAAUCGGGUGCCUGGGUGGCUCAGUUGGUUAAGCGACUGCCUUCAGCUCAGGUCAUGAUCCUGAAGUCCCAGGAUCGAGUCCCGCAUCAGGCUCCCUGCUCGGCAGGGAGUCUGCUUCUCCCUCUGACCCUCCCCCCUCUCAUGCUCUCUCUCUCUCAUUCUCUCUCUCAAAUAAAUAAAUAAAAUCUUUAAAAAAAAAAAAAAAGAAGAGAAUCAACUGCACAAGACUAUAUAGAAUGAGAAUGAACUUCCAGACAAUACUCAGGGUUCUUUCUGAUAUGUAUGCUUUGGAAGAAAAGAACUAUGAUGCUCUAAGCAUUUAUUUUUUAAUUUUUUAAAAAGAUUGAUUUAUUUGAGAGAGAGAGAGAGAGAGCAGGGUUGGGGGGGCAGAGGAAAGGGGAGAGAGAGAAUCUCGAGACUCCCACUGAGCAUGAAGCCCGACUCUGGGCUCUAUCCGAUGACCCUGAGAUCAAGACCUGAGCCAAAACCAAGAAUUGGACACCAAACCAACUAAGCCACCCAGGAACCCCUCUAAGCAUUUAUGUAACUUAAGUUUGGUUCAAAAGCUACAGUUCAAAGAGGGUUUAUAUUUAAAAAGUUGAAAUAGUCAAGACUUGGAUUAUGUUAAAUAUCUGAAAGCACAGUAAAUAAGGCCAAAUUAAAUGGUGGUGGGGAGAAGGGUACAUGGUACACCAGGUUGAGUAGCAACCUGUAACAGUAACAAUACAGUUCAAGUGUUCAAGAAGGCCCUACGCCAAGGUAUUUCUGGAAUUACUUUUUUCUCUUUUUUUAAUAACAGCUUUAUUGAGAUAUAAUUAACAAUUCAUCCAUUUAAAGUAUACAGUCCAGUGGUUUUUAGUAUGUAUACAGAGUUGUAUAGCCAUCAUCACAAUAAAUUUUAGAAUAUUUCCAUCAUUCCCCAAUAAACUCUACCCAUUAGUAGUCACUCCCCUUUCUCCCGUACUCUCCCAUUCCACAGCCCUAGGCAAGCACUGGUCUACUUUUUAUCUGUAUAGAUUUUGUAUUCUAGACACCUCAUAUAAAUGGAAUCAUACAAUAUGUAAUCCUUUGUGAUUAUCCUUUCACUUAGCAUGAUGUUUUCAAGGUUCACCCAUGAUGUAGUAUGUAUCAGUACUUCUUAUUGCCAAAUAAUAUUCCAUUGUAUGGAUAUAGUACAUUUCAUUAUCCAUUCAUCAGUUGAUGGGCAGUUAGGUUGCUUCCCCUUUUAGGCUGUUAUGAAUACUGUUGCCAUGAACAUUCAUGUACAAAUUUUUGUUUAGAUAGAUGUUUUUAUUUUUCUUGGGAACUUCAAAUAAACAAUAUAGUAUCAAACAACAACAGCAACAACAAAAACAAUAGUCUGGCUCCAAAGGCUAUGCUCUUAGCAAUUAGGCAAUGUUGCCACUCUGUAUGAGAUUUUAUUUUUAAAAUAAAAUAGGCAAUGUCACCCCCCCAAAAAGACGACAACAACAAAAUAAUUAAAAUUGAAAUCUCUGGUGAGAAUGUAACUUACCAAAGCUGAUUCCAGAAGAAAUUUUUAAAAGUUAAAUGUAGAGUUACCAUACGAUCCAGCAAUUUCCUCCUAGCUACAAUUACUUUUUUUUUAAUUUAUUUUUUAUUUUUUUAAUUUAUUUUUUUUCAUGGAAUAGUACGGGGAUUGGCAAACUGCAAAAUCUGGCCCACCUGCCUGUUUUUGUACAGCCUGCAAGCUGAGAAUGGUUUCUAUAUAUUUAGAUGGUUGAAAAUCAAAAGAAGAAUAAUAUUUCGUGACACAAAAAUUCUAUGAAAUUCAAAUUUCAAUGUCCAUAAAUAAAGUUUUAUUGGAACACAGCCAUGCUUUUCAUUAUCAUACUUUUCAUUAUCAUAUCAUAUCACUACAGCGGCACAGUUGAGUAGUUGUGACACUGGCCACAAAGCUCAAAAAAUUUCAAACAUAUACUACCUGGCCCUUUACCGAAAAAGCUUGCCGACGCUUGGUCUGGUAGAACCUACAAGUACAGUACAGUGGAUUAGCAUUUAAUUAGAAGACCAGGUUGCCAUGGGAAAAUCUAAGAAGAGACAUUUGACCCAGACUUGAAAAGUGAGAGAGAUAUCCCUGGUACAGGGGGCAUCUGAACUGAGUCCCUGAGGACAAGAAUAAGUCAGGCAAAAAAAGGAGCGAGGGGGCAGCAGGAAUAGCAGGAAUGGAAGAGGAAAGACAAGGAACCUGGGGCAUUCAGAUGUGAGGUAGUCCAGUACAGCUCAAAGGUGGGGUUCUAGAGGAGUGAGGACAGGAAUGAGAUCAGGCAAGCAGCUAAGCUAGCUCCUGGGGUCCCUCAAAGGCACUGGAGAGGCAAUGAGAACUUUUAAGCAAAGGAAUGAAUCAAUGAUUUUUUUUUUUUUUUUUUUUUUUUGCCCCAGAAAUCAGUCUGGCAGACAGAGAUAGGGCUUUGCAGUCAGACCAAGUCAUGAUUUCUGUUUCUGCCACUUAACAAGCUGUGUGUUCCCUCUCUAACCUUCAGUUAUCCUCACCAAUAAAAAUGGCAGUAAUUACAAUAAAAAUGGCAGUAAUUAUAAUACUAAUCACAAAAAUUUUGUGGGUAUUAAAUGAAAUCAUGCAGGUAGAGUACUUGGUACCGUGUUUGGCACAUAAUAAAAGCUCAAUAAUGUUGUUAUGGUACCAUUAUCAUAAUUAUCAUUAUGAACAGCAUUAUCUGUGACAAUGGAAUUAAGGAGAUAAAGUCUAAGGAUGAAACCCCAGGGAAUUCUGCAAUAAGUGCACAUUCUAAGCUUACUAAUCUUGGCUUGCUCGUAAAUUUGGGAUAUGACAUUCUUCUCAUUGUGAUCAUGAACACUUAAUGAUAUAAAGUGCUAUGGAACAAAGUAAAAGUAGAGCAGGGUAAGGAGGAUUGGACUGCUAAGUGGGCGAUGGGUUACAUUAUGUGGGGUAAUUAGUGAUUGUAGAAUUUCCUGGGGUAGUUAGGGUAGGGCCCUGCAGGAACUGGAAGUAUGUCAUUCAGAUAGCUCUCCCUUCAUGAUUAUCUGCUCCAAGAAAUGUAAGCGGAUGACAUCCCUCAGCUGUUAUGCAUUUCCCGACAGCAUUAAAAACAUACCCUCAUGGGUAAGGGUGGAAUUUUCUUUUGAAAGGAGCCAAUGUUUCUAUUGUUCACCAAAAUGAAAAGUGUUUCACUGCCCGAGAACUAAGGUGACUUUUUGGACUUUCU
Long non-coding RNA from Mirounga angustirostris (Northern elephant seal), 6161 nucleotides. RefSeq lists it as uncharacterized. The record is from RefSeq and is a predicted model, not a curated record. Lineage: Eukaryota; Metazoa; Chordata; Mammalia; Carnivora; Phocidae. The transcript has 3 exons.